RNAcentral lists this ribosomal RNA (440 nucleotides) under uncultured bacterium. RNAcentral's name for it is "bacterial SSU rRNA". It matches the Rfam family "Bacterial small subunit ribosomal RNA", at positions 338 to 776 of the family's 1533-position model. The record is from RNAcentral.
CCUACGGGAGGCUGCAGUCGAGAAUCUUCGGCAAUGGGCGCCAGCCUGACCGAGCGACGCCGCGUGGAGGACGAAGGCCUUCGGGUUGUAAACUCCUGUCGAGGGGGACCAAGGGGCGGCGAAGAGCCGCCCUUGAGGUAACCCUGGAGGAAGCACGGGCUAAGUUCGUGCCAGCAGCCGCGGUAAGACGAACCGUGCGAACGUUAUUCGGAAUCACUGGGCUUAAAGCGCGCGUAGGCGGGCCGCCGCGUCGGCUGCUGAAAGCCCCCGGCUCAACCGGGGAACGGGCACCGAGACGGGCGGCCUGGAGGGGAGUAGGGGGACCUGGAACUUCCGGUGGAGCGGUGAAAUGCGUUGAGAUCGGAAGGAACGCCCGUGGCGAAAGCGAGGUCCUGGGCUCCUGCUGACGCUGAGGCGCGAAAGCCAGGGGAGCGAACGGG